GGAAUCUUCCACAAUGGACGCAAGUCUGAUGGAGCAACGCCGCGUGAGUGAAGAAGGUCUUCGGAUCGUAAAACUCUGUUGUUAGAGAAGAACACGAGUGAGAGUAACUGUUCAUUCGAUGACGGUAUCUAACCAGCAAGUCACGGCUAACUACGUGCCNG
RNAcentral lists this ribosomal RNA (161 nucleotides) under uncultured bacterium. Its description in RNAcentral is "partial 16S rRNA". It matches the Rfam family "Bacterial small subunit ribosomal RNA", at positions 358 to 511 of the family's 1533-position model. The record is from RNAcentral.